RNAcentral lists this unclassified non-coding RNA (343 nucleotides) under soil metagenome. Its description in RNAcentral is "partial contains 5.8S ribosomal RNA, internal transcribed spacer 2, and large subunit ribosomal RNA". The stretch from base 1 to 119 matches the Rfam family "5.8S ribosomal RNA", at positions 35 to 154 of the family's 154-position model. The record is from RNAcentral.
GAUGAAGAACGUAGCGAAAUGCGAUACGUAAUGUGAAUUGCAAAUUCAGUGAAUCAUCGAGUCUUUGAACGCACAUUGCGCCCACUGGUAUUCCGGUGGGCAUGCCUGUUCGAGCGUCAUUAUCCUCCCUCAAACCCCGGGUUUGGUGUUGGACCCAAGUUGUGUGAACAACUGGUCUCAAAGACAAUGACGGCGUCCGUGGGACCCUCGGUGCAACGAGCUUUUAGGAGCACGCAUCGAGUUGCAAGGACCUUCCGGGCCGGUCUCCUUUACCAUUUUACAAGGUUGACCUCGGAUCAGGUAGGAAUACCCGCUGAACUUAAGCAUAUCAAUAAGCGGAGGA